RNAcentral lists this small RNA (96 nucleotides) under Chishuiella changwenlii. RNAcentral describes it as "Flavo-1 RNA". It matches the Rfam family "Flavo-1 RNA". The record is from RNAcentral. Lineage: Bacteria; Pseudomonadati; Bacteroidota; Flavobacteriia; Flavobacteriales; Weeksellaceae.
UUUUACCUACAUCACGCGAUAGGGAUUGAAAUGGAAAUCCUUUUUACGUAGCGUGCUAGCGAAGUAAAAAGAUUGUAAUAAAAAGCCCAGCCCGAA